UACAGAGAGUGCAAGCGUUAAUCGGAAUUACUGGGCGUAAAGCGCGCGUGGGUGGAUACUUAAGUCGGAUGUGAAAUCCCUGGGCUUAACCUAGGAAUUGCAUCCGAUACUGAGUGUCUAGAGUAUGGUAGAGGGAAGUGGAAUUUCCGGUGUAGCGGUGAAAUGCGUAGAUAUCGGAAGGAACAUCAGUGGCGAAGGCGACUUCCUGGACCAAUACUGACACUAAGGCGCGAAAGCGUGGGUAGCAAACAGG
This 253-nucleotide ribosomal RNA is filed under the name uncultured bacterium. RNAcentral describes it as "partial 16S ribosomal RNA". It matches the Rfam family "Bacterial small subunit ribosomal RNA", at positions 524 to 776 of the family's 1533-position model. The record is from RNAcentral.